This is a long non-coding RNA of Triplophysa dalaica, 2862 nucleotides long. RefSeq lists it as uncharacterized. The transcript is spliced from 3 exons. Lineage: Eukaryota; Metazoa; Chordata; Actinopteri; Cypriniformes; Nemacheilidae. The record is from RefSeq and is a predicted model, not a curated record.
CAGGGAACUGUCAAUUUUUUUUGCGAGAUUCAAACAUUCAGCCCAGCAGCUUUUAAAGAUUUCAGGUGAAGUGAAUCAGCCAGACGAGAUGUCGCUGCAGAAACUGGAAGAGAUUAAUGAUGAACUUCAACAAGGCAUCAAGGGACUGAACUCAGAAUUCAACAAAAACCAUGACACUCUCAAGAGGAAAAUAAAGGAGCUGAAAGACGUCUCCAAGGAACUUGAAGAAAUGCACAAAAGUACUACAGUGGGCAGUUUGGUCGGAUCAACAAUUGGAGUGACUGGAGGAGCCAUAGCACUAGUGGGUCUGGGUUUAUCAUUUUUCACAUUUGGUGCUUCUUUAGCUCUUUCUGCUAUUGGUGGUGCUGUUGGAAUAGCUGGAGGAGUUACAGGUGCAACAUUUAACAUCAUUAACAUGUUUAAACAGAAAAAACUACGUGAGACUAUUGAGAAUAUCAUUAAAGAUUUCCAGAAAACAAUCAAUCCAAUGAUUCAGCAUCUGAAUACAAUUUCUAACAAAAUAGAACAGCUUCAGCAGGAGGGGCAGAAGUAUUCUGUGCUUAAUAAAACAUUAAUGACCAGUGUGAGAUCAGUGAAAACCUGUUCCAGCAUUGGAAAACUUUUAACUGUACUGCAAACUGCUACACUUGGGAGAACAGCUGCAAAAGCUGUCAGAAGUCUUAAAGUGGUUGGGAAAAUAACCGGCACAAUCUCAACUCUCUUUCUCGCUCUUGAUGUUUACAGUAUUUAUUGUGAUUCUGUAGAGAUCUCUGAAUUAAAUCAACCCGAAAAAGAGAGAAAAGCAGAUGAAAUCAAAUCAGAAACUUUAAAAUUUAUUAAUGAAAUGAAAAAAACAGCUGAUCAGUUUCAGGUGACUCUAGAUGAGAUUAAAAGUGCCAGAGAUGAUAUUAUCAGAGAUUUACAGUUCAGUUGAAAAUCAGCCUGAAAUAAAAUCUUCCAUCUGCAUUUCAUGUGCACUGUGACGGUGGUACACCUUAGACUAGUAAAAAUAUUUCAAUAUUAGUUUAGGUGCCAGACAGGUUUAAGCCUGUCAAUGUUUUAAAUUAACUUCCUAGGAUAUCUCAAAAUUACCACCAAUCAUGAAUUUACAGUAUUAAAAGAAAAAUUAAACACUCAUCAACUAUAAAGAAUAAAGUUAAAGAGGCAGUAGGAUGAGUUUUUGUAUUGACAUGUAUAAGACCAAAUUCACAUCAAACCAUCAUCAUCACCAAUGUCAGGAGGAAGAGAGGACAAAUAAAGAAUAAUUAAUAUUGAGAAUCAAAUAAAACACACAAAGAAAAGAAUUUAACUAAUAAGUCUCACUAAGUUAGGUUUGCUUCCAACAACUCAACUCAACUCAACUUUAUUUAUAUAGCGCUUUUUACACUUUUCAUUGUUACAAAGCAGCUGUACAUGAGACACAUUUAAUACAAGUAUGAAUUCUAAAGCAGCCCCCCCGGCCAGGCAGAUAGUGCAAACAAGUAUUACAGUUUGAGCAUAACUGCUCUCUAACACCCUGAGAAACUAUAUCAUUCAUCAAUGUAGGUGUGUGUUUGCGUUAUGUUACUGUGUGUUCGGUUCGACUAGCGUGUCAACAUUUAUUCUGAAUUAAAUAACUCUAUUUUUCAUAGUCUUGUAUCUUGUUUUCUGGUUCAGUAGGACUGUGGAUAAUCUCUAUUUGGACACAGUCUUUGUAAAACUGUUCUCGAAAUUAUUUUGAAGUUGCCUGUUUUGUUGUACAUGUUACUAUAUUGUAGUGUUAAGUCAAAUUAAAUAAAGACCGCUGGUUUUCCAGCUGAUGUAAAUAUCAACACCAAAAUAUCUCUUAUGAAAUUUAGCUUGUGUGCACUCCAAAUAAAUAUACAUCUGAUCUCAACAACAGAUUGUUCGAAGUGUGAGAUCUUUAUUAUGUAAACAAAUGAGAAUGUUUGAAAUCACCCAAGAUAGUUUAUAAAAGAUUCGGUGUUGUGUGUGUCAAAGGUGUGUGUGUGGUCUUUGGCUGUAUCAAUUAUUGUUGUAUCAAUAAUACAAACACAAUACAUAUUUGCAUACACUUUGGCAGGUGAGUCAAGUGAUGAGUCACAAAGAAAGGAUCAGGCAGUAAAUAAAGAAGGAGAGAGAGAACAAAGAGAAGAUGUGAAUGAAAAGAGCAAUGAACAGAAAGAAUGAUAAGUUGAAGAGUUAAUACAAGAUUAGGAGAGAAGGAGAAGGUUCUGAAGAGUGGAGCGAUACAGAAAGAGAGGUAGAGAGAAAGAGCAGUGGAGACAGAAAAAGUCCACGGGUGCUGCAAUGCCUCUGGACACAGAAGACUCUCUGAGAACAUCUCUGAGAAUAAUCAUUGAAACAUUUCUGUUUGGAGUGGAUUGUGUUAUGUUAACAAUAAACAAAUUAUACUCUUUUGUAUUUUUAUUUCUAGUCUGAAUCUUUCUUCACAUUUAACUUGAUUCUAAUGCUUUAUAAACUGCUUGUCAAAUAAUUACUUCGAGCACACUGAAAUGGUUUUGGGGCAUACCCAGUACCCAACCCCCCCAGCAAAAUACAAUUUUGGACCUCAGUAGAUGUAAAUCCUGUGUACGGCUCUGAGUUCACAAUACAUACUGCCAUUUUGUUAAACUAAGAAUUCUUUAUUUAGAUAGCACUUCUCUAUAACAGUGCAGUGUACCACAAUGUAGAGCAUCUGCUGAGUGUUAGGACCCACUCAUGAACUCGAGUCUCCGGUGUGAGAAACCGUUGCUUAACUGAAUGAGCCACAAGGGGUUGGUAGAACCCAGAAGAUGAGGCUGACAGUAAUACCUGAGAUGACUUUUAAUAUAAAAUGACAGAGGGAGACUAGCCACCAUUUCCUCUGCUACCCGAUGUCUG